RNAcentral lists this ribosomal RNA (406 nucleotides) under uncultured bacterium. Its description in RNAcentral is "partial 16S ribosomal RNA". It matches the Rfam family "Bacterial small subunit ribosomal RNA", at positions 30 to 526 of the family's 1533-position model. The record is from RNAcentral.
AUUGAACGCUGGCGGCAGGCCUAACACAUGCAAGUCGAACGAGUGGCGGACGGGUGAGUAAUGUCUGGGAAACUGCCUGAUGUAGGGGGAUAACUACUGGAAACGGUAGCUAAUACCGCAUACCAUCAGAUGUGCCCAGAUGGGCUUAGCGAGUAGGUGGGGUAAUGGCUCACCUAGGCGACGAUCCCUAGCUGGUCUGAGAGGAUGACCAGGCGCACUGGAACUGAGACACGGUCCAUACUCCUACGGUAGUCAGCAGUGGGGAAUAGUGCACAAUGGGAGCAAGCCUGAUGCAGCCAUGCCGCGUGGGUGAAGAAGGCCUGCGGGUUGUAAAGCACUUUAAGCGAGGAGGCGUUACUCGCAGAAGAAGCACCGGCUAACUCCGUGCCAGCAGCCGCGGUAAUUC